RNAcentral lists this ribosomal RNA (119 nucleotides) under Lepisosteus oculatus (spotted gar). Lineage: Eukaryota; Metazoa; Chordata; Actinopteri; Semionotiformes; Lepisosteidae. The record is from RNAcentral.
GCCAGCAGCCAUAUCACUCUGCAACUCACAACUGGCAGCCCACUGAAGCUCAGCAGGUGUGAGCCUGGUCAGUACCUGGAGGGGCGACCUCCUGGGAAAAACUAAGGUUGCUGCUGGAA